Vulpes vulpes (red fox) is the source of this 105-nucleotide small nuclear RNA. The record is from Ensembl. Lineage: Eukaryota; Metazoa; Chordata; Mammalia; Carnivora; Canidae.
GUGCUCACUUCAGGAGCACAUAAACUGAAAGUGCAAUGAUUCAGAGAUUAGCAUGGGCCCCUGCCCAAGGAUGACAUGCAAAUUUAUGAAGUGUUCCAUAUUUUU